UAGGUUGAUGCUCGCUGGCUUGAGUGGCUAGCUGUUAACUAGUUUUUGUGGGAUCGAGGCCCACCGGCCUUG
Molecule: transfer RNA, 72 nt
Filed under: Leiolepis guttata (spotted butterfly lizard)
Lineage: Eukaryota; Metazoa; Chordata; Lepidosauria; Squamata; Agamidae
Also listed under: 1 other name
Description: tRNA-Asn
Source: RNAcentral